Molecule: ribosomal RNA, 465 nt
Filed under: uncultured bacterium
Lineage: Bacteria
Description: partial 16S ribosomal RNA
Rfam family: Bacterial small subunit ribosomal RNA
Source: RNAcentral
CCUACGGGUGGCUGCAGUAGGGAAUUUUCGUCAAUGGGCGCAAGCCUGAACGAGCAAUGCCGCGUGAACGAGGAAGGUCUUCGGAUCGUAAAGUUCUGUUGAAGGGGAAGAAGAGCGGAGAGAGGAAAUGCUUUCUGAUUGAUAUUACCCUUCGAGGAAGUCACGGCUCACUACGUGCCAGCACCCGCGGUGAUACGUAGGUGGCGAGCGUUAGCCGGAAUGAUUGGGCGUAAAGGGUGCGUAGGCUGCCUGCUAAGUCUGGAGUGAAAGGUACCGGCUCAACCGGUAUAGGCUCUGGAAACUGGCGGGCUAGAGAGGAGGAGAGGGCGGUGGAACUCCAUGGGUAGCGGUAAAAUGCGUAGAUAUAUGGAAGAACAUCAGUGGCGAAGGCGGCCGCCUGGCUUGUUAACUGACGCUGAGGCACGAAAGCGUGGGGAGCAAAUAGGAUUAGAUACCCUAGUAGUC